UACGUAGGGUGCAAGCGUUAAUCGGAAUUACUGGGCGUAAAGCGUGCGCAGGCGGUUUUGUAAGUCUGUCGUGAAAGCCCCGGGCUCAACCUGGGAAUUGCGAUGGAGACUGCAAGGCUUGAAUCUGGCAGAGGGGGGUAGAAUUCCACGUGUAGCAGUGAAAUGCGUAGAGAUGUGGAGGAACACCGAUGGCGAAGGCAGCCCCCUGGGUCAAGAUUGACGCUCAUGCACUAAAGCGUGGGGAGCAAACAGG
RNAcentral lists this ribosomal RNA (253 nucleotides) under uncultured bacterium. RNAcentral describes it as "partial 16S ribosomal RNA". It matches the Rfam family "Bacterial small subunit ribosomal RNA", at positions 524 to 776 of the family's 1533-position model. The record is from RNAcentral.